CAGCGAGGAACGUCCCCCCCCCGCCAUCCCCUACUAGCAGGCCGUCCCCUGCGAAGUCGAGCGGGCCGAACGCGACGCUGGACUUGCACGGAAUCCUCAACAGCAAGAACACGACGAAGGAGGAGGAGUACUCACGGCAAAGGGGAGGUCCGGUGCGAAGCCUGCGGAGCAAGCGCACCGUGAAGAAGGCGGAUGGUGGCACGGAGACCAUCUCUGAGGCAACUCCAUUCUAUGACUGUGAGACCUUU
Molecule: non-coding RNA, 248 nt
Filed under: Triparma pacifica
Lineage: Eukaryota; Bolidophyceae; Parmales; Triparmaceae
Also listed under: 1 other name
Source: RNAcentral